This 73-nucleotide transfer RNA is filed under the name Stegodyphus mimosarum. It matches the Rfam family "tRNA". From Rfam's summary of the family: Transfer RNA (tRNA) molecules are approximately 80 nucleotides in length. Lineage: Eukaryota; Metazoa; Arthropoda; Arachnida; Araneae; Eresidae. The record is from Rfam by way of RNAcentral.
GCCUUCGUAGUGUAGUGGUCAGCACGCUCGACGCGUACUCGAGAUGUCCGUGGUUCGAAUCUCGGCGAGGGUA